RNAcentral lists this ribosomal RNA (253 nucleotides) under uncultured bacterium. Its description in RNAcentral is "partial 16S ribosomal RNA". It matches the Rfam family "Bacterial small subunit ribosomal RNA", at positions 524 to 776 of the family's 1533-position model. The record is from RNAcentral.
UACGUAGGGCGCAAGCGUUAUCCGGAAUUAUUGGGCGUAAAGAGCUCGUAGGCGGUUUGUCGCGUCUGCCGUGAAAGUCCGGGGCUCAACUCCGGAUCUGCGGUGGGUACGGGCAGACUAGAGUGCAGUAGGGGAGACUGGAAUUCCUGGUGUAGCGGUGAAAUGCGCAGAUAUCAGGAAGAACACCCGUGGCGAAGGCGGCUCUCUGGAACGCAACUGACGCUGAGACGCGAAAGCGUGGGGAGCAAACAGG